Molecule: ribosomal RNA, 390 nt
Filed under: uncultured Methanosaeta sp.
Lineage: Archaea; Methanobacteriati; Methanobacteriota; Methanomicrobia; Methanotrichales; Methanotrichaceae
Description: bacterial SSU rRNA
Rfam family: Archaeal small subunit ribosomal RNA
Source: RNAcentral
AAGGCCAGGCUGAAGACUUUGCCGGAUUAGCUGAGAGGUGGUGCAUGGCCGUCGUCAGUUCGUACUGUGAAGCAUCCUGUUAAGUCAGGCAACGAGCGAGACCCACGCCCACAGUUGCCAGCGUACUCUCUGGAGUGACGGGUACACUGUGAGGACCGCCGCUGCUAAAGCGGAGGAAGGAAUGGGCAACGGUAGGUCAGUAUGCCCCCGAAUAUCCCGGGCUACACGCGAGCUACAAUGGUUGGUACAAUGGGUAUCUACCCCGAAAGGGGACGGGAAUCUCCUAAAACCAAUCUUAGUUCGGAUUGAGGGCUGCAACUCGCCCUCAUGAAGCUGGAAUCCGUAGUAAUCGCGUUUCAACAGAACGCGGUGAAUACGUCCCUGCUCCUU